RNAcentral lists this long non-coding RNA (496 nucleotides) under Homo sapiens (human). Its description in RNAcentral is "HSALNT0358398". Lineage: Eukaryota; Metazoa; Chordata; Mammalia; Primates; Hominidae. The record is from RNAcentral.
AGGAGAGGAAGCUUCCGGCUGGGAAACAGAGCUCCCGGCCAGGGGAAGCGGGGACUCUGCUCCUGAGCUGGGACCCGCGAUGGAAGCCCUCCCAGAUUUGGAGCAGCUGUUCCAGCUUAAGGACCCCACCAUUAUCUGGAGUUCAACCACGUAGAAGGCUGGAUUCACAGACUUCCCCUGCCCCGCUUUGCUUUGAUUUGUGAGAUAGUAACAACAAAAAUAAAAUUACAUCAAGGGUUCUUUUUUAAAAGUCACUUGAGGAUUUCAUUAUUAUUAUUUUUUUAAAAAACUGUUUGUGGCCAUGCACAGGCAAGCCUCCUCCCAAAUUCCUACACUGUUCUCAUCUGCACCUCCAGUCCUGAUCAGAUUGCCCGACUCAAGACCCUGGUACCCUGAAUGUUUUACUGAAGUGGAUUCAAGGCAUUUGGGGAAAUGUGUAAUAAUAAAUAAAAUAAGAGUUUUGGAUUAAGCCAAGACUCUCAGGAUUGGGAGACAA